Long non-coding RNA from Rosa chinensis, 199 nucleotides. RefSeq lists it as uncharacterized. NCBI's taxonomy places the organism in Eukaryota, Viridiplantae, Streptophyta, Magnoliopsida, Rosales, Rosaceae. The record is from RefSeq and is a predicted model, not a curated record. The transcript has 3 exons.
UUUGAAGCGGUUUUCUUCUGCCAUACAUUUGAUCACUGGUUAUUUUUGUUUAUGAGAGGAUAAGUGCUUAUCAUUCACCAAUUGCAAGAGUGGGUUUUUAUUUGCAUUUGAGGAUUUUCGGCAACAUUAUUUGCAACCGAUUUGCGGGUGUUCUUCAAAGGUUGAUGAGGCCAUGAGCAAUUAAGUGACAUGUCUUCUU